ACAAGAUGGCAGCCACCAUGGGCUCAGACAAUUUAUGAAAACUAAAUGUAUGGCUUUAAUCUAGAAUGUGGACCUAAAUACCGAGAAAUGUCACCCCUUUUAAGAUUUAUAACAAAAAUUAAUAUAAACGGAGUUAAUAGUUCUAAUGUAGUGGUGGAUCCAAAAGCUCUAUCAGUGCUAGCAAAAAAGUAGAAUUUAUAUAGCUUCUAAGUUGUUCUGCAACAACUUUGGCACCUAAUGAUGUCUAAAUAAAAUAUAAAGCUUCUUCAGCUGCCUGAAGAACAAUCAAAAAGAAAAACACUUCUUCUUUAUAACAAGAGAAGUGUUGAAAGGCACUUCUCUUUCUACCCCAUUUUAUUAAAACAAUCUUCAUUUUCCACAGCAGUAAAUUUUCCAGAUACAUCUUGCAGACCACAAAAUACUAGAAAGGAACCUCUCAUUCAAAGGCAAUUUAUUUUAAGAUACUGUAAAUGA
RNAcentral lists this long non-coding RNA (474 nucleotides) under Homo sapiens (human). RNAcentral describes it as "non-protein coding lnc-CDH18-10:1". The record is from RNAcentral. Lineage: Eukaryota; Metazoa; Chordata; Mammalia; Primates; Hominidae.